AAGCCUGAAGAGNACGCGGCUGUGUGGAUGAGGCCUUCGGGUUGUAAAGCACUUUUGAUCGGGAAGNGGAAGGACGGUNCCGGUCGAAUAGGCCUCGGCUAACUACGUGCCAGGCAGCCGCGGUAAAACGUAGGAGGCGAGCGUUAUCCGGAUUUACUGGGCGUAAGCGCGUGCAGGUGGCUUGGCAAGUUGGGCGUGAAAUCUCCUGGCUUAACUGGGAGGGGUCGUCCAAUACUGUUAGGCUUGAGUGCAGGAGAGGGAAGCGGAAUUCCCGGUGUAGCGGUAAUAUGCGCAGAUAUCGGGAGGAACACCAGUGGCGAAGGCGGCUUCCUGGCCUGUUACUGACGCUAAGACGCGAAAGCUAGGGGAGCGAACGGGAUUAGAUACCCCGGUAGUCCUAGCUGUAAACGAUGGAUACUAGGUGUGGGUGGUAUUGACCCCAUCCGUGCCGAAGCCAACGCGUUAAGUAUCCCGCCUGGGGAGUACGGCCGCAAGGCUAAAACACAAAGGAAUUGACGGGGGCCCGCACAAGCAGCGGAGCGUGUGGUUUAAUUCGAUGCAACGCGAAGAACCUUACCAGGGCUUGACAUGCAAGUGGUAGCGAAGCGAAAGCGGAGCGACCCUUCGGGGAGCUUGCACAGGUGCUGCAUGGCUGUCGUCAGCUCGUGCCGUGAGGUGUUGGGUUAAGUCCCGCAACGAGC
RNAcentral lists this ribosomal RNA (701 nucleotides) under uncultured bacterium. RNAcentral's name for it is "bacterial SSU rRNA". It matches the Rfam family "Bacterial small subunit ribosomal RNA", at positions 379 to 1097 of the family's 1533-position model. The record is from RNAcentral.